RNAcentral lists this long non-coding RNA (1150 nucleotides) under Capsicum annuum. RNAcentral's name for it is "long non-coding RNA (CANN_LNC002512)". Lineage: Eukaryota; Viridiplantae; Streptophyta; Magnoliopsida; Solanales; Solanaceae. The record is from RNAcentral.
AUCUCUAAUCCUUUCGUAUUCAAUUGAGGUCAAUUUUAGCUUAAAUUGAAUCUAAUUUGGCUCAACUUUAAAGCCAAAUUCAAUUUCAAUUGAUGCAAAGUUUAACCCAACUCAAUGACCUGACUCUUGACUCAUGACCCAAUUAAAUUCCAUCUCUUAAUCACAGUCAUUGAUUCCUAAGAUGGACGAUUGAGAUUAAAAGACGUUUCUCUUUCCUCUUAAUGACCAAAUUGCCACAACGGCCGCCUCUUAAAAAUCAGAAAAACGGCCGCCUCCCUUCCACAUUUCUUUUCCUAUCUCUCUCAUUCUCCCCCAACCAGUCACGUCACCACCGGUGAACCGACGCCGGUGGACCAUCCAACACCGGCGCCGCCUCCUUCGCUCUCUGCCCAGCCGCCUCCUUCUCUCUCUGCCCAGCCGCCUCUCUCUCUUUUUCUCUUUAAACCCGACAGCGCCACCGUCCUCAUCACCGACAAACCCACUGCCGAUGGGCACAAUCAGUCCGCCGUCGCGAACCACCCCACCGGUGAGCCAGCCAGCGACCCAACGGUCCUACACUCUUCCUUCUCCUCCGGGGAAUCCCAUUUUACCGCCGCUGCACAACAGCCAAAGCAGCCGCCAUAGCAGCCGCCUUUCACCAGCGACGCCAACCAGUCCGCCGAACCAACGAAAAUCAGCCUCAAAACCAGCUGCCGCCACCCUCCUCACCCUCACACUGCCGCUCCAAGUUUCGGUCAAAUAUCACCGGAAAAUAUUGAAGUUUACGAUGGAUUCUCCAAAUUCGUCUCAAAUUUGUUUCUCUAUUUAAAUUUAUGCCAAUUUAUUAUUAGAUAAAUUGAUUAAUAGAUUUGAAAUAGAUGAAAUUUGGCUAUGUCUUGACUCGAUUUGUUCUAUUUCGUGUUUAUUUGACACCGUUGAAUUUACAUAUGUGAAAGCCCUGAAUUCUAUCAACCUAACCAUAAUUCUUUUCUUCAUGAGUACUAAUUUUAUUCUAUUUUGAUAUUCAUGUUUCCUUGGACGUUAAUUGAAAUGGUUGUUCAUGUGCAAACUUUAUUUAUUAGGAUAUAGAAUGGCUACUUUUCUCGGCUCCAUUUGAUUCACGAUAGUUUUAAUGUGAUAAAAAUAAUUAUUUAUAGAUUCUUCUGCGGUA